This 49-nucleotide non-coding RNA is filed under the name Trichobilharzia regenti. Lineage: Eukaryota; Metazoa; Platyhelminthes; Trematoda; Strigeidida; Schistosomatidae. The record is from RNAcentral.
AUCCAGAUGACUAGUCCUAUAUAGGACGAAAUGCGCAUCCUGGCUGGAU